Molecule: long non-coding RNA, 119 nt
Filed under: Pongo abelii (Sumatran orangutan)
Lineage: Eukaryota; Metazoa; Chordata; Mammalia; Primates; Hominidae
Source: RNAcentral
ACUAGAGCCAAAUCUAUCUCAAAAGUUUAUGUCAUUUUUUUUCCUUUUUGAUAGUAUUCAAUGAGAAAUAACACUUUAAAUAAAACUUUUUCCAUGAGGAAGGUACAGUAAUUAUCCAC